AGCCCCGUGCGGCGGAACGCCCCGAAUCCCGUCAGGUCCGGAAGGAAGCAGCGGUAAGAGGAUUGUUCCGGGCGCCACGGAU
Molecule: signal recognition particle RNA, 82 nt
Filed under: uncultured Pyramidobacter sp.
Lineage: Bacteria; Thermotogati; Synergistota; Synergistia; Synergistales; Dethiosulfovibrionaceae
Description: Bacterial small signal recognition particle RNA
Rfam family: Bacterial small signal recognition particle RNA
About the family: The signal recognition particle (SRP) is a universally conserved ribonucleoprotein involved in the co-translational targeting of proteins to membranes. Archaeal SRP consists of a 7S RNA and homologues of the eukaryotic SRP19 and SRP54 proteins.
Source: RNAcentral